Molecule: transfer RNA, 81 nt
Filed under: Massilia sp. Root1485
Lineage: Bacteria; Pseudomonadati; Pseudomonadota; Betaproteobacteria; Burkholderiales; Oxalobacteraceae
Description: tRNA-Lys
Rfam family: tRNA (bases 17-70)
About the family: Transfer RNA (tRNA) molecules are approximately 80 nucleotides in length. Their secondary structure includes four short double-helical elements and three loops (D, anti-codon, and T loops).
Source: RNAcentral
GAGCCGCUAUAAUGCUGCCCGNGGUAGAGCAGCGGACUUUUAAUCCGUUGGUCGCUGGUUCGAGCCCAGCACGGCCUACCA